Molecule: long non-coding RNA, 2404 nt
Filed under: Phaseolus vulgaris (common bean)
Lineage: Eukaryota; Viridiplantae; Streptophyta; Magnoliopsida; Fabales; Fabaceae
Description: long non-coding RNA (PVUL_LNC003618)
Source: RNAcentral
ACACAUAAAAAUGUUCAAAAGUUUAUAUGUAAUUGAAAAUUAAAACACAUAAAAAGUUCAUACAUCCUUAAUCAAGUUUAAAAUUACAACACAUAAUUGUUCAAAAGUUCAUACAUCCCUAAUCAAGUUUAAAAUUAAAAAACACAUCCCUUUUCAGUUUUGCUUUAAGCACUUGAUCCUAUUACUUGAUUAGGUGAUGGAGCACCACUUCCAUAAUCUGAUGCCUGAAAUAAAUAAUUUUAAUUUAAUGAAUUUGUAUGUUUAUAAUUAUAAAAUAAAAAACACCAAUAAAUAUUUAAAUAUAUUAAUACCUCAUUGAUGUAUGCAACCAAUCCAAUAUAUCAACAUCUUGAAAUCUGCACCAAGAUGCUCUGUCCUCCAAAAUCAAAAGACAUUAUUAGUACAUUCUGUUUGUUUAACAUUAGUUGAGAGCAGUGCAGUUAAAUUUAAUUGAAGAAAGGAGAUUUAUUCAACAACUUUGAAUGACAAUACAAGAAACUGAGAUUCAACCUAUGAAAUACUACCAAUAAAAACUAGUUUUGUGUAGCCACAAAGCAUUAACCAAUCACAUGGAAUCUUUGUGCACCUACUUCUUCAAUAAAAUUUUACGCCGCUACUGUCAAUGACCAACUCACCAAAAAGUUUAAGAUGUUGGGUGAAUGCUUAAGAAUGGUUUAUUACAUGAUUCAUCCCUAACCCACCCCCAUAAAACAAGAUCCCACAGGACUUCAAGAACGUCUAAUACAUGGGGGCCUACCAUGUGUUGAAGCUUAAAUACCAUCCAACUGUGCAAGGAAAAGUAAAACUGACAUUGGCAAAAUUUUGUAACAGAAAUGUCUAACUAAGUAGGCAUGCACAAGAAAAUAGUAAACCAGAGAGUUUUCAACAUUACAAUGAAUGGAUUUCUGAAACAGUAUAAUUUAAACAUUAGUGUCAAACCUAGAAGAACUUAAGCCCAAUUUUAACUGGCUCUAUAUGCAUUGUGCAACUUAAGAAAGAUAUAAUAUAUAAAAGUGAACAAUAAAGGUGAAAGCAAACUAAAAAUAUAACAUUUCCAAGAAAAACCAAUAACCAAAUACUAGAUUCUCCCCCCAAUCUUUUCAAUAAGUAAUAGAAUAAAAGAGUGUUGAAGAAAGUUAAUAAUAAAAUAGAGUCUACAGGUAAGAUUCUUACAAGCCUGCACAUCAAACGCUCAAAGCACCAAAAUGCGUCUGCUUCAUCGUCAAGAAGAAUUAUCAUAGGGGAGCACAGGUCACACAUUCCUGCCCAGAAUUGUAAAAUGUUAAAACUGGAAACUUAGGAUAGUUGUAAAUGGUGGUAGCAAAUAUUUCUUGCUAGAUCGCCAGAAAAAUAGAAAAUAAACUAAUAUAUAAAGCAGUAGGUCUCAUUUAUUCAUUAAAUUCUUUCCAUAAACCAAGUUGGUCUGUUUUACAGAUUUCUCUGCUUUUUUUUCAACAGUGAAAAUUAAGAGGUUUUAAUUUGCCCGACCAAAACAGUUGGCUAAAUACUCAGAGGAAGUCCUAAGCUAUUUAAAAAACGUAAAAUACACGAACACAGAAAUUACCAUGCAUUAAAUACUAAUUAAAUAUUCUAUGAAUGUUGGCCUCCCAUUCAUGACCAGCUUUGUUGAGGCUAAAAUAAUUGUCAACAACUAGUGAAUAUAUCAUAGAACAAUGCAAGAUUGUUACAUAUUAUUAUAUGAGCAUUAAGAUAAGAACUCAGAUAGGAAUAUCUAAAUAUUAGAAGAGAAAUAUACGAAGAAAAAAAUGAAAUUCUCUUCUCCAUAAUUUAAAUUUAGUUCACCACAAAUUAAAAAUAAAGAGUUUAAUUUCUGUAAUAAAAGAUGAAGCACAGUAAGUUGAUUUUAGCUUACAAGACAAAUUUAAUUCGAUUUAUCUUUUCACUUUUCAGAUAUAUGAUAAGUUUGCCAAACAAAACCUAAAUAGCAAAUUCUCAUAAGAAAAGCACACUACUCGUAUUUUCUCUUCCCCUACAGCAAGCUAAACUCAAACACAAGACGUUGUAUUCAACUCAAAAUCAAUGAAAAAGAGCAACAAAACAAGCUAAGCUGUGAGAAAUAAAUAAAUUUAAAUGCAGUUUAUGAAAAUCACUACUCUCAUAAGCCACAACAUACAUUUCUAGCUGACACAAAUCAUAAUCCAAAAAUUUAACUAAAAAGUAAAUAAUUGAUUGAAUACCUUAGUGGAGAAGGAAAAAUUGGAAGGGAAGGCGAAUGCAGAAGGUCUUCCGAGGAAAACCGCCGGCCGAGACAGAGCAGACGGUGGUGUGAGGACAGUUGCCGUCGCAGCCGCUUCCAUUGGCAACUCUGCGAAAGCGAUGAACGGCGUUGGAUGAAGGAAGAAAAAUGGAUGAAUAAAAGUGAAUAUAAUAUGACAAAUAAAAU